UGGACCAGUGAUGCUGACUGGUGGUGUAUGUGUCUUGGUUGAUGAAAACAAGUGAGUUCCAA
Molecule: small nucleolar RNA, 62 nt
Filed under: Equus asinus (donkey)
Lineage: Eukaryota; Metazoa; Chordata; Mammalia; Perissodactyla; Equidae
Description: Small nucleolar RNA SNORD113/SNORD114 family (ENSEASG00005036316.1, ENSEASG00020017692.1)
Rfam family: Small nucleolar RNA SNORD113/SNORD114 family
About the family: The imprinted human domain at 14q32 contains two clusters of tandemly repeated small nucleolar RNAs named 14q(I) and 14q(II) snoRNAs. These two clusters are named SNORD113 and SNORD114 respectively in the HGNC approved gene symbol nomenclature.
Source: Rfam by way of RNAcentral